UUCACUCUACCAGCUCUACAAUCAAGUAGGUUUUUCCAAACAAAAACCUAUUUUGCUGUUUCAUUUUACCUUCUGAUCUCUGUGUUCCAGUAUUUAUUUAAAAUAGUAAUUCAACUCCAAAAUUCACCAAAUUUUGUAUGCUGGAGCCCUUAUAUGUUUAGUGCAUCUCUAUAAAUUUUCGUAUUUUUCUGGGUAGUUUUGCUUAGUGUUUCAGUUUGUCUUUCGACUGUUGUUCAGUAGGAACUGCAGUCACGAUUUAUGACUUUUGUUGAAGCAUCUAGUUUAACUUAAUCCUCUAUGAGAGACACUUAUUUCUCUUGCACUAUAAUUGGCAUAAUUGAAUGAGUAAAAGGGAAAAUCAAUAGCUUUUAUUUUAGCUAUCAAUUCAUGUAUAUUGUGACAAAUAUCUAUAUAUACUUGUUUGGACUUUGUGAUAAUGAUACAUCUUUCCUUCAUUAUUUAUUAUGAUAAUGUUUUGUGGUGUUACCUGCUCAUAUUAAAUUUAAAUAUUUUACCUGCUUAAAUUCUUUGCAUUAGAAUAUAUAUGUGUGGAAUGCAGGUACUUAACGAACUGGAAGUUCACACAUAAACAUUGAAUCAAAAGUUCAUACAUAAAUAUUGAACCAGAUGUUCACAUGUAUCGAACCUGUAGUUUCGACAACACUAAAAGAUUAUGAACCUUUCCAAGUAGGCUCAUCCAAUUAGAUGCGAUGUCUAGACCAGCUUGAGCCCAGCAGGCCCAUUUUCCUUCCUCAAGACCGAGCAGCCCAACAGGCCUCACACACUAUUUGACUAGUGCAUGAAAGCCUGGGUCACGAGCUCGCAGCUAAGCCCCGUAGGUAGGCUUUAUUAUCAAGCCCACUCUUUCUUUGGUCCAGUAGAACCAAAUAAAAGGAAAAAUAAUUUGAUUCUAUUG
This 916-nucleotide long non-coding RNA is filed under the name Rosa chinensis. RNAcentral describes it as "sRNA RchiOBHm_Chr5g0041041". The record is from RNAcentral. Lineage: Eukaryota; Viridiplantae; Streptophyta; Magnoliopsida; Rosales; Rosaceae.